GCGGGCGUAGUUCAGUGGUAGAACAACUCCUUGCCAAGGAGUAGGUCACGAGUUCGAAUCUCGUCGCCCGCU
RNAcentral lists this transfer RNA (72 nucleotides) under Anaerolineae bacterium. RNAcentral describes it as "tRNA-Gly". It matches the Rfam family "tRNA". From Rfam's summary of the family: Transfer RNA (tRNA) molecules are approximately 80 nucleotides in length. Their secondary structure includes four short double-helical elements and three loops (D, anti-codon, and T loops). Lineage: Bacteria; Bacillati; Chloroflexota; Anaerolineae. The record is from RNAcentral.